Molecule: ribosomal RNA, 460 nt
Filed under: uncultured bacterium
Lineage: Bacteria
Description: partial 16S ribosomal RNA
Rfam family: Bacterial small subunit ribosomal RNA
Source: RNAcentral
CCUACGGGGAGCAGCAGUGAGGAAUAUUGGUCAAUGGACGAGAGUCUGAACCAGCCAAGUAGCGUGAAGGAUGACUGCCCUCUGGGUUGUAAACUUCUUUUAUAUGGGAAUAAAAUGUUCCACGUGUGGGAUGUUGUAUGUAACAUAUGAAUAAGGAUCGGCUAACUCCGUGACAGCAGCCGCGGUAAUACGGAGGUUCCGUGCGUUAUCCGGAUUUAUUGGGUUUAACGGGAGCGUAGGUGGAUUGUUAAGCCAGUUGUGAAAGUUUGCGGCUCAACCGUAAAAUUGCAGUUGAAACUGGCAGACUUGAGGACAGUAGAGGUGGGCGGAAUUCGUGGUGUAGCGGUGAAAUGCGUAGAUAUCACGAAGAACACCGAUUGCGAAGGCAGUUCACUGGACUGCAACUGACACUGAGGCUCGAAAGUGUGGGUAUCAAACAGGAUUAGAUACCCUUGUAGUC